GAUGAACGCUGGCGGCGUGCCUAAUACAUGCAAGUCGAGCGAACAGACGAGGAGCUUGCUCCUCUGACGUUAGCGGCGGACGGGUGAGUAACACGUGGAUAACCUACCUAUAAGACUGGGAUAACUUCGGGAAACCGGAGCUAAUACCGGAUAAUAUAUUGAACCGCAUGGUUCAAUAGUGAAAGACGGUUUUGCUGUCACUUAUAGAUGGAUCCGCGCCGCAUUAGCUAGUUGGUAAGGUAACGGCUUACCAAGGCAACGAUGCGUAGCCGACCUGAGAGAGUGAUCGGCCACACUGGAACUGAGACACGGUCCAGACUCCUUCGGGAGGCAGCAGUAGGGAAUCUUCCGCAAUGGGCGAAAGCUUGACGGAGCAACGCCGCGUGAGUGAUGAAGGUCUUCGGAUCGUAAAACUCUGUUAUUAGGGAAGAACAAAUGUGUAAGUAACUAUGCACGUCUUGACGGUACCUAAUCAGAAAGCCACGGCUAACUACGUG
Molecule: ribosomal RNA, 497 nt
Filed under: uncultured bacterium
Lineage: Bacteria
Description: partial 16S ribosomal RNA
Rfam family: Bacterial small subunit ribosomal RNA
Source: RNAcentral